Molecule: ribosomal RNA, 490 nt
Filed under: uncultured bacterium
Lineage: Bacteria
Description: partial 16S ribosomal RNA
Rfam family: Bacterial small subunit ribosomal RNA
Source: RNAcentral
AGUGAACGCUGGCGGUAGGCCUAACACAUGCAAGUCGAACGGCAGCACAGGAGAUCUUGCUCUCUGGGUGGCGAGUGGCGGGCGGGUGAGGAAUACAUCGGAAUCUGCCCAGUCGUGGGGGAUAACGUAGGGAAACUUACGCUAAUACCGCAUACGACCUUCGGGUGAAAGAGGGGGAGCGCAAGACCUCUCGCGAUUGGAUGAGCCGAUGUCGGAUUAGCUAGUUGGCGGGGUAAUGGCCCACCAAGGCGACGAUCCGUAGCUGGUCUGAGAGGAUGAUCAGCCACACUGGAACUGAGACACGGUCCAGACUCCUACGGGAGGCAGCAGUGGGGAAUAUUGGACAAUGGGCGCAAGCCUGAUCCAGCCAUACCGCGUGGGUGAAGAAGGCCUUCGGGUUGUAAAGCCCUUUUGUUGGGAAAGAAAUCUUUCAGGCUAAUACCCUGGGAGGAUGACGGUACCCAAAGAAUAAGCACCGGCUAACUUCGUG